UACGAAGGGGGCUAGCGUUGUUCGGCUUUACUGGGCGUAAAGCGCACGUAGGCGGAUUUUUAAGUCAGGGGUGAAAUCCCAAGGCUCAACCUUGGAACUGCCUUUGAUACUGGAAGUCUCGAGUCCGGGAGAGGUGAGUGGAACUGCGAGUGUAGAGGUGAAAUUCGUAGAUAUUCGCAAGAACACCAGUGGCGAAGGCGGCUCACUGGCCCGGAACUGACGCUGAGGUGCGAAAGCGUGGGGAGCAAACAGG
RNAcentral lists this ribosomal RNA (253 nucleotides) under uncultured bacterium. Its description in RNAcentral is "partial 16S ribosomal RNA". It matches the Rfam family "Bacterial small subunit ribosomal RNA", at positions 524 to 776 of the family's 1533-position model. The record is from RNAcentral.